RNAcentral lists this ribosomal RNA (557 nucleotides) under uncultured bacterium. Its description in RNAcentral is "bacterial SSU rRNA". It matches the Rfam family "Bacterial small subunit ribosomal RNA", at positions 112 to 704 of the family's 1533-position model. The record is from RNAcentral.
AACGCGUGGGAAUCUGCCCUUGGGUACGGAAUAACUCAGAGAAAUUUGUGCUAAUACCGUAUAAUGUCUUCGGACCAAAGAUUUAUCGCCCAAGGAUGAGCCCGCGUAAGAUUAGCUAGUUGGUGGGGUAAAAGCCUACCAAGGCGACGAUCUUUAGCUGGUCUGAGAGGAUGAUCAGCCACACUGGGACUGAGACACGGCCCAGACUCCUACGGGAGGCAGCAGUGGGGAAUAUUGGACAAUGGGCGAAAGCCUGAUCCAGCAAUGCCGCGUGAGUGAUGAAGGCCUUAGGGUUGUAAAGCUCUUUUACCCGGGAUGAUAAUGACAGUACCGGGAGAAUAAGCUCCGGCUAACUCCGUGCCAGCAGCCGCGGUAAUACGGAGGGAGCUAGCGUUGUUCGGAAUUACUGGGCGUAAAGCGCGCGUAGGUGGUUUUUUAAGUCAGAGGUGAAAGCCCAGUGCUCAACACUGGAACUGCCUUUGAAACUGGAAAACUUGAAUCUUGGAGAGGUCAGUGGAAUUCCGAGUGUAGAGGUGAAAUUCGUAGAUAUUCGGAAG